RNAcentral lists this ribosomal RNA (182 nucleotides) under uncultured bacterium. Its description in RNAcentral is "partial 16S ribosomal RNA". It matches the Rfam family "Bacterial small subunit ribosomal RNA", at positions 1318 to 1500 of the family's 1533-position model. The record is from RNAcentral.
CCAUGAAGCUGGAUUCGCUAGUAAUCGCGCAUCAGCCACGGCGCGGUGAAUACGUUCCCGGGCCUUGUACACACCGCCCGUCACACCAUGGGAGUCGGUAACACCCGAAGUCUGUAGCCUGACGCAAGAGGGCGCAGCCGAAGGUGGGAUUGAUGACUGGGGUGAAGUCGUAACAAGGUACC